GGUACAACCUAAAUAGAGUUAAAAGUGGUACUUGAAUGGACAUCACGUCCGUUCAUACGACCACGGUUUAUCAGGAUUUACGAAUUUUGGGUUCUAUUUUUGGCAAGAUUUUUCUGGAAUGCGUCGUAACGUGAUAACCAGUUAACUAUUCAAAAGCAAGCCAGGAACAAUUCAACAUCAUACUAGUGAAAAUCUGGAUAAAAUAAAACCUUUAAAAAAACACCUACCUGGGGUACACAAUGUUCAUCUGAAUUUUUUUGUGAAUGAGGAAUCUACAAGACAAAGAUAUGUCAUCACAUUUAUGUGAGCAUUCUUUAGUAAUAACAUUAAGAGUCCCAGUGAUUGACACCGACCUUUCCGGAUGUACUGAAGAUGAAUCGAGAACGGGUCCCUAAGGCGCAGGAGACUCGACUUCGAGAAGGAUUCACUCUCUUCUGUCCCUUUCCUUUCGCGAUCCAUAGCGGUUUGUGGAACGAUACUGAAAUGAUGGCUCAAUUACCACUGUGCUAUCUGAUAAAAUGACUGAAUUUCUAGGUAUUUUAGUUCAGUAGCUUGUCAAACUUACUAAAGUAUUUAGUCGGUACGUGUAUAUGCUUGUUUCUUGCUGAUGAGCUAAAAAAAUCUGAUACUCCUUACAAAAGGUAUUCUGGUUAUUGUGAUGCUUGGAU
Molecule: long non-coding RNA, 668 nt
Filed under: Daphnia pulicaria
Lineage: Eukaryota; Metazoa; Arthropoda; Branchiopoda; Diplostraca; Daphniidae
Description: uncharacterized LOC124313696, transcript variant X2
Source: RNAcentral